This is a long non-coding RNA of Peromyscus maniculatus bairdii (prairie deer mouse), 1534 nucleotides long. RefSeq lists it as uncharacterized. NCBI's taxonomy places the organism in Eukaryota, Metazoa, Chordata, Mammalia, Rodentia, Cricetidae. The record is from RefSeq and is a predicted model, not a curated record.
AGCUGGGAGAGUACUUGCUUACCACGCAGGAAGCCCUGGGUUGCAUUUUCAACACCACAUAAACAGAUCCUGUUGGUAUGCUUGAACCUCAGUACUUAGAAGAUGGAGGCAAAAUGAUCAGAUGUUCAAAAACAUGGCUUCACGGCAACUAUGAAGUCGGCCUGGGAUACAGGGGACAGGGUGCACUAUAUAACAUCAGAGACACAGUUUUGCUUUCCUGAAACCCAAGGCAAUCCGAAUCCUGAACACAGCUGCUGCCACCACCACAUCAACCGCCACCGCCGUCAACAACGGCAGACUGAUGGUUUAAGAGGAAUUGAGCCUAGGUCUGAAGAUAACCCUCUGGCUGUAGAGCUGGUUCAGUUAUUAAAAGUACUUGCUGUACAAGAUGAAGAUGGAAGUUGGGAGCCCAGAAUCCAGGGUCACUGGUUCCUGAGCAUAUGAGUGGGUUACUUCCAGCUCAACCUUCAGCAUCUUGGCCAGGCAACUAAUGAGAGCUGCUGAGUGAUAACCACCGGCUAAUGUGCCUGAACUGGCAGACCUUCCACACCACGAGACAAGCACAUGUUUGUCUUUGCUCUAGUUUGAGCAGCCUGUGGCACUGCGGCCAAGGAUCCUGGGAACUGUCGCUCCUGCUGCACAGGACAUGAGACUGGGCAAGGCUUCGGAGCACUGGGUGUGUUCAGAGGUUGGACAACUCCUUCCAAAUCCACGUCUAAGCUAACACCGCAGUUUCUACAGAGAGCAAUGACGAAGGGUUGUUUUGCACAUACACAGUUCACCGGGAAAGCCAAAGCUGCACCAUCUUUCUGCUAGUCUCAGCGUUUUAUCAAGUCCUACUUCCAUGGUGACACCUUGUGGUACCUUUAGAGUCAUUCAGAUUGACUCAGAACAGUAUAAAUUUUGUUGCAGCCCUAUUCUUCAAUGUUGGCAAUUUUUUGUAGGGUCUAAUUUGUAGCUUAUUAAUUGUAGCAGUGUUUUUCAAACUUCUGCAUUUAUAAUAUAUAUAAUAUAUAUAUUUGUUUUGUUUUGAAACAGUCUCAUGUAGCUGAGGCUGGCCUUAAAUUCUCUAUGUAGCCAAGGAUGCCUUGAAUUCCUGAUUCUACCUUCAUAAUAGGUGUACACUGUUGGGAAUCUCAGGCUUGGGCCCCAUUCCAAACCCCACCCAGAUGUUCAGCUGGGAACUCAGCCCCACUCCUCUCCUUUCAACCCCCACCCUCAGAAAACCUUCCAAGCAGUGGCUUGUCCCUUGGAGCGCCUCAAGACCGAGUCUAUAGGUUAUUAAGGUCUGGUCCAUAGACCUUCCACGUGGUUUCUCUUCUUCCCCUGAGAUCACCCAGGGAUGCUUUGCUCAUUAAAUCUGGACUUUUAAUUUGGCUUGAAUUGGCUUAUUGCAUCAGCAGAGUUACCCACUACUGGGGAUAUUUUUCAAAAUACUUAUCAUGCACCAUUAUGCCCUCAGCCUAAACCUUUCAUUUAAACAAAAGAACAAGUCAUUCUUCAAACUGAAAUUUAUAUACAGUUAGGAGGACAA